This 77-nucleotide transfer RNA is filed under the name Culex quinquefasciatus (southern house mosquito). RNAcentral describes it as "tRNA-Thr". It matches the Rfam family "tRNA". Rfam says of the family: Transfer RNA (tRNA) molecules are approximately 80 nucleotides in length. Their secondary structure includes four short double-helical elements and three loops (D, anti-codon, and T loops). Further hydrogen bonds mediate the characteristic L-shaped molecular structure. tRNAs have two regions of fundamental functional importance: the anti-codon, which is responsible for specific mRNA codon recognition, and the 3' end, to which the tRNAs corresponding amino acid is attached (by aminoacyl-tRNA synthetases). tRNAs cope with the degeneracy of the genetic code in two manners: having more than one tRNA (with a specific anti-codon) for a particular amino acid; and 'wobble' base-pairing, i.e. permitting non-standard base-pairing at the 3rd anti-codon position. The record is from RNAcentral. Lineage: Eukaryota; Metazoa; Arthropoda; Insecta; Diptera; Culicidae.
GGAGCAGUGCGUGGCCGAAGGGUUACGCUGUCCGCUUUGUAUGCGGAUGAUUCUGGGUUCGAUUCCCAUCUGCUCCA